AUGAUGGUUGGACAAGAAAUAAUCUGUCUUAGAUUAAUAUAUUGAAUUUAACUUUUAAGUGAAAAGGCUUAAAUAAUUUGAAGGGACGAUAAGACCCUAUAAAACUUUAUAUUUAUAAGAUAGUAGUUAUUUUUAUUUAAUGGUAUUAUUUUAGAAUAUUUGGUUGGGGUGACAAAGAUAAAAUAUAAAGUAACUGUCUUUUUUUUUUACAGUUAUGUUUGGUUUAAUGAUCCUAAAAGGGAUUAAAGAUUAAGUUACUUUAGGGAUAACAGCGUAAUUUUCUUUGAGAGUUCUUAUCGACAAGAAAGUUUGCGACCUCGAUGUUGAAUUAAAAGUUCUUUAUAGAGUAGAGAUUAUAAUAGAAGGUCUGUUCGACCUUUAAAGUUUUACAUGAUUUGAGUUCAGACCGGUGUGAGCCAGGUUGG
Molecule: ribosomal RNA, 425 nt
Filed under: Procambarus caballeroi
Lineage: Eukaryota; Metazoa; Arthropoda; Malacostraca; Decapoda; Cambaridae
Description: partial large subunit ribosomal RNA
Rfam family: Bacterial large subunit ribosomal RNA (bases 54-425)
Source: RNAcentral